GCUAACUGCCCUGGAUGUGGAGACCCGCGGACUGGACGUGAGAGGCGGGCAGGGGCAGUUGGGGCAGCUGCCCCUACAACACUGAAGAAUUGGAAUAGGAAAGAGUGUGGGGGUAGGGGACGGGGACUCUUUGUCUGCAGUUGGAAUGCGCGGAGGGGCAUGGUGGAAUGUGUCGCGUCCCGGGACCGGACGACAGGAGGCAUGUUCUGCGCUAGCACCGUGACUUUGUUCCCAGCGUGGGGACUGUGGGAGAGAUGGAGAGAGACUGGUACAGAAAUGGUGAGACAAGGAGAGAGCCAUAAAGAGGAAGACAGAGAGAAAGAAGACAAAUGCAUAAAGAGGUUCAGAGACGUGUGACUGUGGAGAUCGAAGGCCUGGUUUUAGGGCUAGCGAACACCUUCUCCCUUUGGUUUUGGUCCACAGAAGACUGGUGAUACAGAGCGCAGCAGCAGCAUCUGGCCUCGCUGCCACUGGGAGGGGAGAAGAGAAUGGUGGCACUGAAGGACAUGGCGGAUGGGGCAGUAACAACCACGCUUACACUGCUGGGCCGCUCCAACAGGUAGGAAGCAUCAACUUCUCUGGACUCACUUUCCUUUCUCAAUGAGGAUGGUCAGAGGAGCCCAGGCCCCAAGCUGUAGGGUCUGUGAAAGAAGAGUAAACAAGCCAUGAAGAAGCACACAGUCCAUGGCGGCCUCUCCUCGGCCUGCAGAAGGGAGACAGGUGCCUUCUAUUUGCAGAUCCUGUGCUCUCCUAGCACAUCACAAAUCAAGGCCUUCCUGAUGAACGGUUUCAGA
Molecule: long non-coding RNA, 794 nt
Filed under: Homo sapiens (human)
Lineage: Eukaryota; Metazoa; Chordata; Mammalia; Primates; Hominidae
Description: HSALNT0208201
Source: RNAcentral